Long non-coding RNA from Talpa occidentalis (Iberian mole), 327 nucleotides. RefSeq lists it as uncharacterized. NCBI's taxonomy places the organism in Eukaryota, Metazoa, Chordata, Mammalia, Eulipotyphla, Talpidae. The record is from RefSeq and is a predicted model, not a curated record. The transcript is spliced from 3 exons.
CGGCAGCGAAGGCCGGCAGCCCGCAGGUUCCAGAAAGAAAACAAGGUGAGGAUGUGAUCAAUAAUUUGCUUGUCAUCAUCGUUGUGUUAGAACCACAGCUAAACCAGAGCCAGAAAUCACACCCAGAUCUCCUGGAUUGAACCCUUUUUCUCCCUUCCCUUUCACUAAACUGGCAAAGAAAGGCUUAAGGCAGAUGAAUCCUAUCUCAGAUGGGUGAAACCAUUAACAUAUGAAUGAACAGAGAAAUUGUGGAGUAUAUACUCAAUGGUGUACUACACAGCUGUAAAGAAAGAUGAAAUGGUGGCAUUUGGGAUAAAAUGGAUGGAC